GUGGGGAAUAUUGGACAAUGGGCGCAAGCCUGAUCCAGCAAUGCCGCGUGGGUGAAGAAGGCCUUCGGGUUGUAAAGCCCUUUUGUACGGGAAGAAAUCAUCCGGGUUAAUACCCUGGGUGGAUGACGGUACCGUAAGAAUAAGCACCGGCUAACUUCGUGCCAGCAGCCGCGGUAAUACGAAGGGUGCAAGCGUUAAUCGGAAUUACUGGGCGUAAAGCGUGCGUAGGUGGUUGUUCAAGUCUGUCGUGAAAGCCCUGGGCUCAACCUGGGAAUGGCGAUGGAAACUGGGCGACUGGAGUGCGGUAGAGGAUGGCGGAAUUCCCGGUGUAGCGGUGAAAUGCGUAGAGAUCGGGAGGAACAUCCGUGGCGAAGGCGGCCAUCUGGACCAGCACUGACACUGAGGCACGAAAGCGUGGGGAGCAAACAGGAUUAGAAACCCUAGUAGUCC
Molecule: ribosomal RNA, 450 nt
Filed under: uncultured bacterium
Lineage: Bacteria
Description: bacterial SSU rRNA
Rfam family: Bacterial small subunit ribosomal RNA
Source: RNAcentral